UACGUAGGGUGCGAGCGUUGUCCGGAAUUAUUGGGCGUAAAGAGCUCGUAGGCGGUGUGUCACGUCGGCCGUGAAAACCUGCAGCUUAACUGUGGGCGUGCGGUCGAUACGGGCAUCACUGGAGUUCGGCAGGGGAGACUGGAAUUCCUGGUGUAGCGGUGAAAUGCACAGAUAUCAGGAGGAACACCGGUGGCGAAGGCGGGUCUCUGGGCCGAUACUGACGCUGAGGAGCGAAAGCGUGGGGAGCGAACAGG
This 254-nucleotide ribosomal RNA is filed under the name uncultured bacterium. RNAcentral describes it as "partial 16S ribosomal RNA". It matches the Rfam family "Bacterial small subunit ribosomal RNA", at positions 524 to 776 of the family's 1533-position model. The record is from RNAcentral.